This 68-nucleotide transfer RNA is filed under the name Marmota monax (woodchuck). RNAcentral describes it as "tRNA.Pro". The record is from RNAcentral. Lineage: Eukaryota; Metazoa; Chordata; Mammalia; Rodentia; Sciuridae.
GGUUUGUAGCUCAGUGGUAGAGCACUUGCCUUGGACAUGUAAGGCCCUGGAUUCAAUCCUCAGCACCA